Molecule: ribosomal RNA, 460 nt
Filed under: uncultured bacterium
Lineage: Bacteria
Description: partial 16S ribosomal RNA
Rfam family: Bacterial small subunit ribosomal RNA
Source: RNAcentral
CCUACGGGUGGCAGCAGUGAGGAAUAUUGGUCAAUGGCCGGAAGGCUGAACCAGCCAAGCCGCGUGAAGGACGAAGGUGCCAAGCAUUGUAAACUUCUUUUGUCAAGGGACAAAAUCAGGCUCGAGAGCCUGACCGAGGGUACUUGAAGAAAAAGCAUCGGCUAACUCCGUGCCAGCAGCCGCGGUAAUACGGAGGAUGCGAGCGUUAUCCGGAUUUAUUGGGUUUAAAGGGAGCGUAGGCCGGUCUUUAAGCGUGCCGUGAAAUUUUGUGGCUCAACCAUGAGAGUGCGGCGCGAACUGGAGACCUUGAGUGCGCGGAAGGCAGGCGGAAUUCGUGGUGUAGCGGUGAAAUGCUUAGAUAUCACGAAGAACCCCGAUUGCGAAGGCAGCCUGCCGCAGCGUUACUGACGCUGAAGCUCGAAAGCGCGGGUAUCGAACAGGAUUAGAUACCCCAGUAGUC